ACUCUAAGCGGUGGAUCACUCGGCUCAUGGGUCGAUGAAGAACGCAGCAAACUGUGCGUCAUCGUGUGAACUGCAGGACACAUGAACAUCGACAUUUUGAACGCAUAUCGCAGUCCAUGCUGUUAUGUACUUUAAUUAAUUUUAUAGUGCUGCUUGGACUACAUAUGGUUGAGGGUUGUAAGACUAUGCUAAUUAAGUUGCUUAUAAAUUUUUAUAAGCAUAUGGUAUAUUAUUGGAUAAAUAUAAUAAUUUUUAUUCAUAAUAUUAAAAAAUAAAUGAAAAACAUUAUCUCACAUUUGAAUGUGAAAAACGAAGAGAAAUAUUUUCUUUUUCAAUCAAAUAAUACUGAGAAAUGUCUAGCAUAAAAAAUUGAAAUAUUUUUCAUCUAGAAUUGUCUCUUAUUAAUGAUUCGGAAAUAGAAAAAUCUUGGUUAUGUUAUUAUUCUUCGUUGGUUCGUUAAAAAUGGAUAAAUAAAAACUUUGCAUACAAGAAUUAAUAAAAAUGUUAUAACGAAUUUAAUUAAAUGUUUUAUCAUUAUAUAUAAAGAAUUUAUGGCAAGAUAAAGUUAUAUACAACCUCAACUCAUAUGGGACUACCCCCUGAAUUUAAGCAUAUUAAUUAGGGGAGGAAAAGAAACUAACAAGGAUUUUCUUAGUAGCGGCGAGCGAAAAGAAAACAGUUCAGCACUAAGUCACUUUGUCUAUAUGGCAAAUGUGAGAUGCAGUGUAUGGAGCGUCAAUAUUCUAGUAUGAGAAAUUAACGAUUUAAGUCCUUCUUAAAUGAGGCCAUUUACCCAUAGAGGGUGCCAGGCCCGUAUAACGUUAAUGAUUACUAGAUGAUGUUUCCAAAGAGUCGUGUUGCUUGAUAGUGCAGCACUAAGUGGGUGGUAAACUCCAUCUAAAACUAAAUAUAACCAUGAGACCGAUAGUAAACAAGUACCGUGAGGGAAAGUUGAAAAGAACUCUGAAUAGAGAGUUAAACAGUACGUGAAACUGCUUAGAGGUUAAGCCCGAUGAACCUGAAUAUCCGUUAUGGAAAAUUCAUCAUUAAAAUUGUAAUAUUUAAAUAAUAUUAUGAGAAUAGUGUGCAUUUUUUCCAUAUAAGGACAUUGUAAUCUAUUAGCAUAUACCAAAUUUAUCAUAAAAUAUAACUUAUAGUUUAUUCCAAUUAAAUUGCUUGCAUUUUAACACAGAAUAAAUGUUAUUAAUUUGAUAAAGUGCUGAUAGAUUUAUAUGAUUACAGUGCGUUAAUUUUUCGGAAUUAUAUAAUGGCAUAAUUAUCAUUGAUUUUUGUGUUUAUUAUAUGCACUUGUAUGAUUAACAAUGCGAAAGAUUCAGGAUACCUUCGGGACCCGUCUUGAAACACGGACCAAGGAGUCUAACAUAUGUGCAAGUUAUUGGGAUAUAAACCUAAUAGCGUAAUUAACUUGACUAAUAAUGGGAUUAGUUUUUUAGCUAUUUAUAGCUAAUUAACACAAUCCCGGGGCGUUCUAUAUAGUUAUGUAUAAUGUAUAUUUAUAUUAUUUAUGCCUCUAACUGGAACGUACCUUGAGCAUAUAUGCUGUGACCCGAAAGAUGGUGAACUAUACUUGAUCAGGUUGAAGUCAGGGGAAACCCUGAUGGAAGACCGAAACAGUUCUGACGUGCAAAUCGAUUGUCAGAAUUGAGUAUAGGGGCGAAAGACCAAUCGAACCAUCUAGUAGCUGGUUCCUUCCGAAGUUUCCCUCAGGAUAGCUGGUGCAUUUUAAUAUUAUAUAAAAUAAUCUUAUCUGGUAAAGCGAAUGAUUAGAGGCCUUAGGGUCGAAACGAUCUUAACCUAUUCUCAAACUUUAAAUGGGUAAGAACCUUAACUUUCUUGAUAUGAAGUUCAAGGUUAUGAUAUAAUGUGCCCAGUGGGCCACUUUUGGUAAGCAGAACUGGCGCUGUGGGAUGAACCAAACGUAAUGUUACGGUGCCCAAAUUAACAACUCAUGCAGAUACCAUGAAAGGCGUUGGUUGCUUAAAACAGCAGGACGGUGAUCAUGGAAGUCGAAAUCCGCUAAGGAGUGUGUAACAACUCACCUGCCGAAGCAACUAGCCCUUAAAAUGGAUGGCGCUUAAGUUGUAUACCUAUACAUUACCGCUAAAGUAGAUGAUUUAUAUUACUUGUGAUAUAAAUUUUGAAACUUUAGUGAGUAGGAAGGUACAAUGGUAUGCGUAGAAGUGUUUGGCGUAAGCCUGCAUGGAGCUGCCAUUGGUACAGAUCUUGGUGGUAGUAGCAAAUAAUCGAAUGAGACCUUGGAGGACUGAAGUGGAGAAGGGUUUCGUGUGAACAGUGGUUGAUCACGAGUUAGUCGGUCCUAAGUUCAAGGCGAAAGCCGAAAAUUUUCAAGUAAAACAAAAAUGCCUAACUAUAUAAACAAAGCGAAUUAUAAUACACUUGAAUAAUUUUGAACGAAAGGGAAUACGGUUCCAAUUCCGUAACCUGUUGAGUAUCCGUUUGUUAUUAAAUAUGGGCCUCGUGCUCAUCCUGGCAACAGGAACGACCAUAAAGAAGCCGUCGAGAGAUAUCGGAAGAGUUUUCUUUUCUGUUUUAUAGCCGUACUACCAUGGAAGUCUUUCGCAGAGAGAUAUGGUAGAUGGGCUAGAAGAGCAUGACAUAUACUGUUGUGUCGAUAUUUUCUCCUCGGACCUUGAAAAUUUAUGGUGGGGACACGCAAACUUCUCAACAGGCCGUACCAAUAUCCGCAGCUGGUCUCCAAGGUGAAGAGUCUCUAGUCGAUAGAAUAAUGUAGGUAAGGGAAGUCGGCAAAUUAGAUCCGUAACUUCGGGAUAAGGAUUGGCUCUGAAGAUUGAGAUAGUCGGGCUUGAUUGGGAAACAAUAACAUGGUUUAUGUGCUCGUUCUGGGUAAAUAGAGUUUCUAGCAUUUAUGUUAGUUACUUGUUCCCCGGAUAGUUUAGUUACGUAGCCAAUUGUGGAACUUUCUUGCUAAAAUUUUUAAGAAUACUAUUUGGGUUAAACCAAUUAGUUCUUAUUAAUUAUAACGAUUAUCAAUUAACAAUCAAUUCAGAACUGGCACGGACUUGGGGAAUCCGACUGUCUAAUUAAAACAAAGCAUUGUGAUGGCCCUAGCGGGUGUUGACACAAUGUGAUUUCUGCCCAGUGCUCUGAAUGUCAAAGUGAAGAAAUUCAAGUAAGCGCGGGUCAACGGCGGGAGUAACUAUGACUCUCUUAAGGUAGCCAAAUGCCUCGUCAUCUAAUUAGUGACGCGCAUGAAUGGAUUAACGAGAUUCCUACUGUC
This 3280-nucleotide ribosomal RNA is filed under the name Drosophila melanogaster (fruit fly). Its description in RNAcentral is "eukaryotic LSU rRNA". The stretch from base 573 to 3280 matches the Rfam family "Eukaryotic large subunit ribosomal RNA", at positions 1 to 2343 of the family's 3401-position model. The record is from RNAcentral. Lineage: Eukaryota; Metazoa; Arthropoda; Insecta; Diptera; Drosophilidae.